GCUAAAUGCUGCAAUGUCCUCCAAUUUAGAAAGUCAUCUUGAAGCUGUAAAACCCUGUGCCCAGAUUCAUUCCUGGAAUCCCUUUUGGUCCCAGAAGGAAAAGAAAGGCAGGGAAACAGAGGAGGAGGGGUCAUCUUGGGUAACAUGUCACUUGGGCAACAUUCUGGACAACAUUAGAGCCUCCAGCCAGGCUGCACACCUGCCAAUACAGUGUUCCCAGGCUGCCGGAUGUCUCGGGCCCAUCUCCUCAGAGCCGUGACCAGGACCAGGGAGGAAAACGGAGCCCUGUGUACCCCUAAUAGCUCAAAGAUAAGAAAGAAGGGGUGUCGUGGUAAGAACAAUAGGGAGAAUAUUAGAGCAGGUCCUGUUCAUCCUAAUGAAGAUGCAUCGUUGGCACUUGCCUCCCGCAUGGCUGGGAAAGAGCAGUGCAACCAAAAGGCCCCAUCCAGAUGGAGGAGCUCAGUAGAACAUCUGCCUUGCAUGUCUGUCACCUCCCUACCUCCUGCUGCUGUGUUAGCUGCCAGCCAUUAUAGCAGCUCCUGAGUCAAGGGCCCUCCUCUUGUAGUGUUUUCUUGGAGCUUUGACAGAUUAUCUACACUGUCAUUCCCAACAGCAUCGUGCCAUCUUUCUUAAAACUGCAGGAAGAUCCUGAUGGAAAUCUCAGUCCUUUUAAAAAAAAAAAAAAAAACCCUCCAAAAUAAAUUCCAUUAAACUAUAGUUAUGCCUGCAAAUUUUAUAUCAACUGGCAUUAGGCAGUUAGUUCACUGCAUCAACUACAUGGAUGGCCUAUAGCGUCCAUGUGACACUGAAGAAACGAGAGAGCUGUGGAAAAUGCAUUCACCCCUCUCCAUGUCCUCUACCACCAAUCUAAGUCCAAACCAGCCUCAUAUCCUGCCCAGAUUAUUACAGUAGCUGCCUAAUUGAUCUGGUCCAACCAUCUUAGUUAGUCCAAAUCAUCACUUGCCUGAGCAUUACUAAGUAGCCUCCUAACUAGCAUGUUUCCACUCUAGCUCUCCUUAACCCAGUUGAUUUUCCACAUUUGGGCACAUGAAAUAACAUUUUUGAAACCAAAUUCUGAACAUCUGAAUUUUGAUGAAAACCUUUCUAUGGCUUCCUAAAGCUAUUAGAGAUUAUUUACUACUGAUAAAUCAAGAUUGCUAUUGGCACCCUGAAGGCAAUGCAUGAUCUAUCCUUUGCCUAGCUUUUAUCUAAAAACAUCAUUUUCCUUUUUCCCCAUACUUUAGUCGUACCAGCCAUUUAUCUGUUCUGCCAACAUGCUAUGGUCCUUUCUGCCCUAGGGAUAUUGUAAUACUAUUGUUUCAGACUGGAAAUCCUUCCCCAUCUCAUUACACUUCACCUACUAAACCAUCACUUUUCAUAAUUCCAAUUUAAACACCACUUCCUCAGAGAUUCCCUGUGCUCCAUCACCCACUAAUCCUUUCUAUAGUGUCCUUUCCUCUACUUUUGAAGCUCUUAUAGUUUGUAAUUACAUAUCACCAUGAUUAUUUUAUUAAAUACCUAUCUCCCUCCACUAGGCUGUGUUUACCGAGAAGCCAGAAACUUUGC
This is a long non-coding RNA of Bos taurus (domestic cattle), 1566 nucleotides long. The record is from Ensembl. NCBI's taxonomy places the organism in Eukaryota, Metazoa, Chordata, Mammalia, Artiodactyla, Bovidae.